CCGCUGUACAGGGAAGCUCAGCUUGGCUGAAGCUGGAGCAGCGGGGGCCGCAAUGACCAACCAGCCACUCAGCAGCCAGCACAGCCUGCGUCCAGUGAGGUCUGGUGUUGGCAGGUGCAGAGUGUGCAGGCCUUCCUUUCCUAGGAGAAGGUGGGUCCCUCGGCCACGACGUGGCUGGGUCUCAGCGCGGAGCCAUCUUGGGCCUGGCCUGGGAGCUGCCGGGUCCACAGGCUGCAUCUUCAAGCCAGGCAGAUUCAGGCUCCCAGAGGGGUCCCAUCCGUUGUCCACCUGGCAAAAGGACCUUCUAGAAAGUUCUUUCUCAAAGGGGAACUGACAUUCCUGCCCUACUUUGUUCCAAGAUGGGAGCUGUGGUCUCAGAGGUAGGUGUGGAAAACCCAGAGUGGGGCUGCCUCUGUCUCUGCUCAAGGAUUUCUAGUUUGCUCAUGGAAGGGCUUGGUUUUGUCAGCAGCUGUGGCCUGGAUCGACCCUGUGGUCAGAGAUUGCCCAAAGCCCGCAGGCUGGUGACAGUCAGUGUGUGGCAGGAGCAGGAAAGUGAGCUAUUUCUCAGCUGCCCAUUUCUGGGGCGCCACCUUGGAGCUGGGGGGCGCUGGUACUUGGGGUGAGGCCCAAAGUUGAUUCUGAAGGGUUCUUAAAUGCCGAGCAGCAGGGUGGCAAUGUCCAGCCACACAGACAACCCAGUCUGGUCACGUUUGGCCUACACUCUGGGCCAGGCACACCCGGCCUCAGCCUGCACCUGGCUUGCUUGGACAGUUUCAAGUUCAGGAGCUGAUACUGGUGGUGGCAGCCAGCUUCAUUUUCUUUGAGGCAGUAUAUAAAGUUCAUUGUUUCCCUUAUUCCUGAUGAACAAAACUUUUAAGAUGUAAGAAUACAGUAUUUUGAGUAAUCCACUGUGAGCAUUACAGGCUUUUUUUCAGGAUGAGCAUCUGGAAAAAUAAAUAGGUUUUGUUCUGUUUUGUUUUUCCAGUAACUCAGAUAAAAUGUUAGCACAGUUGGCAGCUUCCUGAAUUAGGCAAAGUAAGUUUUGCAUUUAUGAAAAUGAAACUCAACCAUAAAACAUGGACACAGUCCACUGUUAAUUUUCAGACAUUUUCAUAAUUUGCAAGUACCUUAUUUGCAAAAUUGGUUUUUCGGGAGCUUUAGAGUCCUCAGGGCUGGGUGAGCCGUUCUGAGGAGGCUCCUGGCCCCUCCAUCAGGCGGGUGGACCUGGGCUGUGCCCUGCGCACGGCCAAGGAGGGACGCUGUGGCCCUUGGGCGAAAUGGCGGCUGUGCCUCGAAGACACGUAGCUGCAGCGGAAGCUAAGAGGCUUGAGCACCGAGCCAAGCCUGCCGCCACCACCACCCCCCGCCCCCUGCGGCCUCUGGCGUCUGGGUCUGGCUGAUCCGAGCAGGCAGGAAAGGUUGGGUUUCAGCGCUUUGUUCUCUGGGCGGCCUGGCCAUUGAUUAAGGCCCGUUGGGCAGGUUAACCAGCCACCCACUUUUUCGCACCGGGAUUGCAUUCCUGGCCAGGCCCCCAACCUCCUCCCAGACGGGGCUGAGCUAGGCGCCCUGGGGGGUGUUUGCUCUACUGGGCAGCCUGGGGCCUCUGGGCCGCUUCGAGCCUUUCCUCGAUUUUCCCAAGCGAGCCUGGUGGAAGGUGAUGAUUAACCAGCACCAUUGGGGAAGACAGGCCGUUGGGGACCAGAGGUGCCUCGCCCAGGAGAGGAGCCUGCUGCUCCAGAGAGGAGCCUGUUUUCAGUUUUCAUUUCCCCACUGUGGCUGAGGCUCACACUGUUGUCAUCCCUCCCCUGCCCCCGUGCCAGGAGAAGCCAGGGUCCCCUGCUGAGCUGUGCUCUGGGCAGAGAUGCAUCUCCCAUCCCUGCCUUGGAGUGUGGAGGACUGACACUCCUGCCCUCUGCGCCAGGCCUGUGCUCAUCUAUACUUCUCUCAGCCUACCGCCCAGGCGAGGCUCCUGACUGCCCAGUGGGCAGUGCAUCACCCUGGCCUGUCCCUUGGCUGUAGCCAGACCAGCUUUGGGCCCUAUAGGGUCCCCCAGCCCUCAGGGCUCCCCAAGACGUCCUGCUCCUGAGUGGCCAAGGGCAUUGGAGACACUAGGCCCCCCCGAGCGGUGGGAGGUGGCCUGUCGGCCAAGCAUGCUGGGGAAUGUGCUUGACCCAGCCUGGAGGGUUGGAUGCUGGGCUCUGCCCACGCCCCACUCAGCCCUGCAGCCUCCCCUGUGGCCUGGCCACCAGGCAGAGGAGCUGAAAUUUCACUCAGCUCUGAAAGGGAAGCCUUAGCUCAGAAAACAAGUGAAAUUGCAACCUCAAAGCACAGAUUUGACAGGGUCAGAGGGACAGGUGUGUAACUUGGAAGGAAGGGGGCACAUCCUGUGGUGUCUGCGGGUACAGGGCUACAGGGCAGGGACCCAGGGGUGGCAGGGACUCUGAGCCAGGACAGCCUGUGGAGGUCCAUGUGCCUGAAAUAUGUCCGGCCACACCUGCCGGGCUGAGCCAGGCAAGGGCAGGUGUGCAAAAUGCUGGCCGUGGGGAGUGGGGAAAGACCAGGCCGCCCUGGCCCUUCCUGUGGUCGGCUGGCAGCUGGUGGAAUCAGCGCAGCCUGCACCCCUUAGUAGACACUGCAGGAGGAAGAUGCUUGGACCCUACCCAGCCCCUCUCCAAGCCCAGGCUGCCAUGAGGUAGGAGAGAAAGGAGCAGAGCAGGGUCUGAGAGGUCAGAGUGCCAGGAGACUCUCCCCGGGCAGCUGCCCAGGCCUCUCGGCUCCAGGAGGGGCUGUAGGCUGGUCACUGAGCACAUGGGUGCUUCAGAGCAGCCCUUUCUGAAUAGCCUUGUCCCCAUGGGCCCCUGGGCGGAGGGCUCUGUGUUCUGUGUGGGGCUGCUGUUCACCUGCUCCGGAGCAGGACUCCAGGCCUGGUGCCACUGGGAGAGGGACAGUGAGAGGAGAGCCGUCCUGCCUCUCGAGCUGGGUUGCUUGUGCCUUGCCCAGUGCCCUUCCUGGGCGCUGGAGAAGGGCAGGUGGGGCUGGGCAGGAAGCAGGCUCCAGACAGCGUCCUGGGGCAGAGGCCAGUGGUAUAGCCUGGCCAGCCUCAGACACGGGAGGUGCCAACCUGUGCUCACAAUGGGGCUCUGGGGCCUGGACCACGCCUCUCUCUGGGACCACCCUGAGGGAGGCUCUACCCACCCCUGCUCUCCUUCCUAUUCCUUGGGCCACCAGCCUCUGGGCGGGAUCCCCUGCCUCCCGGAGUGCCCAUCUGGGCCCACACAGUGACACUGGGGCUAGAGGGCAGUUCACUAUGGCCCCAGCCCCCGUGAGGCCUCAGGCACCUGGGACCCUGCCAAGCCCUUGCCCUGUGGGGCUGCCCCCCCGCCCCACCCAGGGCUCAGAGAAGAGACAGCUCCUCUCAGGCACCCGUCAGCCCCCACCCAAGCCCCAGCUGGCGGCCCCCAGACCAAUCUGGGCAGCCGUGGCCAUCUUACUGGGCAGCAUUGGAUGGUGUCUGGUCUCUAAUACUGCCUGGUAAUGAUGACGGCGGAGCCCUGCACGCAGCAACGGGGCCGCCUCCCCUCCGCUCCCACCCCACCCCCACCUGGAGCCCCACAACGCGCCCAUCCCUCCAUCCUGCCCACUGGCUUCUGGGUGGAGCCGCGGGACAGAAACUCGACCCUGGGAAGGAGACUGGAGCACGCCGCGCCCCAGCUCCUCUGAGGAGCACCCCAGCCUCCAGGAUGAAAGGCCUCCUGCAGCUGCUCCACCCCUCCCCCCAGCCAGUGUUCUGGGGAUUAGGACGCUCAGGUAUCCUGGCCCUGCCCAUGGCACCCAGGCAGGUGCUGCCACCACACCUGGCAGGUGUGGGCUGCGGAUACUGCAGCAAAGGGCUCUAAGGGUAAAGGCUCAGCAGGGCCCAUGGGUGGGGGUGGGGCACCCAGGCUGGGCCUUGCUCCCCUCCUGCUCCACCGUGGGGAGGCAGCUGUACCUCCAGCCUUGGUCCCAAGCCAGCACACAAGGUCCCCUGCUAGGGAAAACCAGGGAAGGCAGACAAGCGGCUUCAGGUCUCUGCUGGCCCCAUCCAGUCCAAGCCAUUCACUGCUCUGGGUCACCGGGCUCUGAGCCUAUGGGUGGAAAGCUACACUUCUGUCCCCUGCACCCCGUGCUGGGUGCACCUGGGCAUCUGUGGGCAUCUUAUCGGACAGUGCUGGAUUUCUCGGCUUGACUCUAACACUGUCUGGUAACGAUGUUCAAAGGUGACCCACUGCCCUCGAGAUCCCCCGAGGAUGUGCCAUCCCAAGUUCCUGGAUCCAGACGUAGGCAGGGCAGGGGUCCUGCAAUUCUGGGGGCACUCACCGAGGGGGCACCCCUGCCCAUCAUGCCAAGGCUGGCUAGGCUGGUUCUGCCACAUGAGGGGCCCCAUCCUGGAGCAGCCUCUGCCUACCCUUACCCCCACUCCUCCCAGGCUGGGUUUUGGGCUCAGCUAGUCCUGUAGAGCCAUCAGGCCCAGGACUGUGGGCUGGAGGAGGAGACUUUGGGCCUGUGGCCUCUCAGCAUUCAGGGCUGUGUAAGUGCCCUGUUCUGGGGACUGGGGAGGCCAGUGUGGUUCAGGCACCCUAGCGCCACACACAGAACUGAGGACGUCCCCCACUGUUUCCUGACCAAGGACAAGGAAUCUGCAUUCCCUCUGCCAGCCAAGGCGACCAGGAAAUUUGUCCAAAAUUACAAUCCAGGAGGACCCAGUUUAUUUUUUUGAUCUGAGACCAGGACACAGGGCCAGGAGGCCCACCCAGCAUGGGGCAGGGCAGGGCAGUGUCUGCCCUUAAACCUUCUGUUACUCAUUAAGCUGCCUGGAGUCAUGCAGGAAACUGGAGGCUGAGGUGAGCAUUUGGCCUGGAUCCACUGGUCCAGACCACUCCCUGGUGGCAUCCACAACACCCAUUCCUGGACCGGGUCAGUGCUUAUUCCUCAGAGCAGCCCUGGGUUUGGGGCUGGCUCAGCCGUCAGGAGGGUGGGCCCCAGGAUGCCUUCCCUCCACAGGCACCAGGAUCAGAGGAGCUCACUCCUGCCCACGAUGGGCGUCUUACCAGACACGGUUAGAUCUGGAUGCUUCUGUCUAAUACUGUCUGGUAAUGCCGUCCAUCUACGGCCUGGUCACCGCUGGAGCAGAACCCCCAGCCCCAUGGGACCCUCACCGGACACCAGGCAAAGACUGAGGCCUGUGACCCAUCUGGCACAGCUGCCCAGGCCCCCAGGACCCUGCUGCCUCCCCUAACCCCAUGGUGGCUUUGUUGGCAUGACCAAGGGUUUUAGGUGUGGAGACCUGCAUCUGCUGCCCUCAGGAGCACAGCCACACCGAGGGUCACUGAGGACAGUCACCCGGCCCUGCACAAGUGGAGGCCCCCACCCUGAAUCUUGGCCUUCAGCGCCUCCACAUGCACAGGCCAGGGGCCUAACAAGGACCCAGAAGAAGCCCUGCCCAUGACCCUGACGCAAGCAUGGGGGAAAGGACACGUGGGCAGGGAGGGAAAGUCUGUGGCUCACCGUGGGGCAGCACCAGGACCCAGUGACCCCUGGGAGGUGCCAGAGGCAGGCCCUGGGGAUGGGGAAAUGGGCCACCCCCCAGGCCUCAGCUUGGGGGUCCCACACAUUCACAUCCAGGGCUGAGGUGGUUGGGGCCAAUGCCAGGGGCCAGGGCCGAUGACAAUGACCAUGGCUGGGUAAACAGGUGCACAGUUGUACAACCCCUGUCCACAAAGCUGACAACUGGGGCAGCUUUGAACUGGCUCGUGAGUGAUGCUAGUUUGCUGUGACCUCCCCUGGGAAUGUGGUAUGCAGAUCGCUUGUGAGACCUCAGCCCUGGACCCAAACACACAAACCCUGGUAUGGCCAGUGCUCAGGCUGGCUGGUGGCACCCCGCACACCCCACCCCAUCCCGGCCUGGACGCUAAUCCUGCUCCUGUCCUCAUGGGCCUCCUUUGUCCCGGUGGUGAUGAAGUUGGUCUCUCUUGGGGGCCACUCUGCUCAUAAACAAGGAACCCUGGCACGUAGCUGGCUUCACCCUCCCAGAGCAGCUUCCACCUGACUGCUCUGGACUGUGAGCCAGGCCCCUCUGGUGGAGGCGCCUGAAGGUGUGGGCUUCUCCUAGUCCUGGCCUGGCUCAUUGUGAACAAAAAAGUCUGUAUGGCAAUAAACUCUGAUUCCUGAAAGCAAGCAGACUCUGACCACCUCCUUGUCACUAGUACAGCGACCCACAGCUUUGCACAGGGCUGGGAGAUGCCCCCCUCGGUCUUUCCUGGCUCAGUUCAGUUCUGGUCCCAGGGAAGCCCCGGAGCAGGAAGGACAGGACACAGUUCUGAUGGGGACAGCAGAGCAGAUUUCUGAGUCAGAGCUCUGAACCCAGGACCUAGGAAAGGUGGGCAUCUGCCCAAGCCAUGGCCUGGCAAGAAGCUCCUGGGGGCAGUGCUGGGGGACCCUGAAGGCUGUGCUCCCAGCAGGGGAGAGGCUGCCGUGGGUGGUGUGCGCCGCAGCUUCAACGCUCUCCGUGGCCACCACACAAGUGGCACAAGUGCUCUGGAAGGCAAGCUGCCGUCCCUGGCCAGGCCUGGCCCUGAUAUAGGUUGAGAAGGUCAGCACCAAAGUGGGGCCUGGCACUCCCGCCCUCCCUCCCUCCGGCCAGCAUGAGGACGCCCUCUGCUCUGGCCGCCAGACGGACUGUGGCUGCCUGGGCAGAGGGUCAGAUGGCUGGGUGCAGCAAGAUAGCCCAAAGGCCCUCGGAUGGGUGGGGCCGGCAACAGGAACCGACCCCACCCAGGGAACCAGUGAGGGUGGGGGUUUUCCACAGGAGGGUGGCUCUCCAGCCCAGCCAAGCCUUGCGAAAUGCCCCCUUCUGACAGCUCAGGGAAGAGCCACACGGGGUGUGGCCCAGGGCAGCCAGCUUCUGGGUGGGCAAGGAAGCCCCAGAGCAGCCAGUGCUGUGCAGGACCCUGGAAGGAGAGCAGAGGUAGGAGCGUAUGGGCUUCCUGCCAUAAACAAUACCACAAACUGGGGGCCUCCAGGGGGUCUGCAGUCCAAGACUGAGGCCCCAGCAGGCUGGGGUUCCCACUGAGCUUGGGUGUUCCUCCUGUGGCCCAGGCUGCCUUUGCCUUGUGGCCGAACUGCGUCCUCAUCAUGGCUUCUCUCUGCUCUCUCCUUCCUCUGCCUGCCCCUGAGGAUGCUGGCACUGAACUGAGAACAAUCUCAUCUGAAAUCCCAACUUAGACACAUCUGCACAGACUUUUUCUCUACUAAGGCCACCUGUGUAGGUUCCAGGGCUCAGGAUGUGUUGCUGUCUUCAGGGGCCCCUCCUGUGUCCUGCAAGGGGCUGCUAACAAGGCUCUGAAGGUCAGCAGGGUAUGAGGCCCGCGUGGCUGGAAGCUGGGGUCAGAGCCCCUCAAACAUGCCUGCCACCUUCUGCCCCUCGCCCCUGCCCAGCUUCCUCCAUUGCGCCUCAGCCCAGACCUUGGCCCUUUUACCACCCACCUAAAGCUCCUGUUUACCUGGGGCUCCACUGGGCUGCAGUUGCCAGUUAACAGUUGCUGAGGGACAGUUGCCAGGCCACCACUGUUGUAUCCCAGCAGAGGGCUCCUGAGACCUCUUGGGAAGGUAAGAGGAAGUUGCAGGCCACCAGCAGGGUCCUGGCCAGGGCUGAGGCUAGGCCCUGCCCUCCUGUGGCCCCCUGGGGACCCAGGAGUCAAGGAAGGGAGCAGGGACUGGAGAGAGACCAGGUGGCUUGGCUGGGCUAAGUCUUCUCCCCCCAGGCUGCCCUCAGCCCAGACACCCUAGGUGAGCUUGGGCAGGGCUGGGCAUCCUUAGGACGAGUCCUCCACCCACAGCCCGUUUGUCUCCCCAAAGGGCCCCUGUGGGAGCUCCUGCAACAAGGUGCUGACAUGUGUUUCUCUUCUUGAACAUUUUCUUCGGGUUUAACAGCAUCUGUCUGUCGAGCCAGAGUGAUUUCCCACCAGUCUUUAAUCUGAGCAGAAACAGCAAUUGACCAACCUCCGAUGUGAAACUCACUUCUGGAUUUAGAGUCGCGUCCUUCAGAGAGACCCUGGACUUGCAGCUGCCAGAGGAUGCCACCUGGGCGCUGGCAGCAUUCCAGCUCUCCCGACACUGUGCACCGGACCCCGUGUUCCGCACACAGCUGCCAGGGCUCUUUAAAAAGUCUUUGUCCAUCUGAAUGACAAGAAAUGAUAAUAACUCAUGGCUUAUUUAAUUCUUUGUGAAAAUAACAAGCAUCAGAGUUAGAAAAGUCAGCCUUAUAAUGAAGAACAGUGAACCCACACAACCCUUCAGGACAUUUCUUAGCUGUGGCAACAGAGGUGGUGCCGAGAGAGUAGGACAG
This 8383-nucleotide long non-coding RNA is filed under the name Heterocephalus glaber (naked mole-rat). RNAcentral describes it as "lncRNA (ENSHGLG00000038444.1)". The stretch from base 3479 to 3545 matches the Rfam family "mir-8/mir-141/mir-200 microRNA precursor family". Lineage: Eukaryota; Metazoa; Chordata; Mammalia; Rodentia; Bathyergidae. The record is from RNAcentral.